GAAAGCCGUGUGCGGGAAAACCGCAAGCACGGUUUGAUGAGGGAGGACUGGCGAAAUAGCAUGGUGAGGCUACUGAGCACUGCCAGACGAAAGGGGCAGAAACAGAUAGGCCAACCUAAACUAUAGAUAGCCAGUUCCCUACUCUAC
Candidatus Brocadia fulgida is the source of this 147-nucleotide non-coding RNA. Lineage: Bacteria; Pseudomonadati; Planctomycetota; Candidatus Brocadiia; Candidatus Brocadiales; Candidatus Brocadiaceae. The record is from Rfam.